CGGACAAAAUACCGCACGUUACGAAUAGUAUACUAUUUAUAACGGACAUCAUGGGCCCGUUACGAAUGAUUGGUCCAGGCGUUGGUGAGAUGAGCCCAUUAGUUACUUAGGGUUUCACACAUCUCCUCAGCCGUCACUCCCCUCUCUUUCUCUCUCCUCAGAAAUCAUCCUCUAACUUUCUCUUUCACUCACUCACUACCUUUCUCUCUCCUCUUUAGAACUCAAUCAAAAUCUAAAAAAAAUGGCUAGAUCUCUUUCCAAUUCUCUCUCCUCAGCAACAUCGACCCAUAUUUAUCAAUUUUCGACACUAGUCAGAGCCAUUUUCCGGUGAAAUCUGGCGGUAAAGGAGGUUGAGAAGGUUGAGAUGAAGUAAAGCGACGCUGCUCAACCCAGAGAAGAAGAAUGCGGUGGCAGCCACGAUAAUGGAAAGAUGGGUUCUUGUUCUUCUACAGAUCUAACAAUCUCAAAACUUGACUAAAAUAAUGAUGCGUUGGAUAAACAUUUGGAGAGAUCAUUGCCUUCAACUUCGAAAGGAUUGAAUGGUAAAGAUAAGGAUGGAUUGUCGGCACAGUCGGUUAUCAGUACUACUGAUGGUGAUGGUAAACAGUCGUCUGAUCAGAGAGAUUCUCGCGCUGUUCCUCUCUCUAAGAAUCGUUGCUCCGAUGGAUCCAUGUCGCCCUAGAGUUAGAGAUUCAGUUGAGUUAUGCAGGGCUGCUGGCGUAAUGAUAUUUGUCUGAACUUUGAAGUUGCAAUUUAUGUUAUGGUACCGCCAAAUUAAUGAUGCCCUGCUGGCUGUAUUUGACAGAAUAUCAACCAUGUAUAUGAGACCGAUUACUGAACAGAGUGGUGCCGAACUAUAUCUACAGCUGAAUCUAAACACCAACAAUACACGAUCAGGGACUCUUCUGGGCAGUAUGAUGCGGGCAGUAUGAUGCCUGAUUAUACUCAACACGAUUAUUGAGAUCAAAGUUGCAUCUAUCUGGAAAAAUGGUGGAAGAUGUAAAUUAUUCAACACGCUAAUUUAGAGGAAAAUAAUUUACAUCUGAUGGUAGUCUUAAGUAAACUUGUUUUUAUUAUUAUUACAAUUGAGAUUUCCUUUUGCUUUGUUAUAGUUUUAUUAUAUAUAUAAAAGCAGCUUUUGCUAAUUGUAUUUUACUCUUUAAUUA
Chenopodium quinoa (quinoa) is the source of this 1166-nucleotide long non-coding RNA. RefSeq lists it as uncharacterized. The record is from RefSeq and is a predicted model, not a curated record. The transcript is spliced from 3 exons. NCBI's taxonomy places the organism in Eukaryota, Viridiplantae, Streptophyta, Magnoliopsida, Caryophyllales, Amaranthaceae.